UACGGAGGGAGCAAGCGUUACUCGGAAUUAUUGGGCGUAAAGGGCGCGUAGGCGAUCUGACAAGUCUGGUGUGAAAGCCCACAUGUUAACUGUGGAAGUGCAUUAGAAACUGUUGGAUUUGAGUUCAGGAGAGGAAGGCAGAAUUCCCGGUGUAGCGGUGAAAUGCGUAGAGAUCGGGAGGAAUACCAGUGGCGAAGGCGGCCUUCUGGACUGACACUGACGCUGAGGAGCGAAAGCGUGGGGAGCGAACAGG
Molecule: ribosomal RNA, 253 nt
Filed under: uncultured bacterium
Lineage: Bacteria
Description: partial 16S ribosomal RNA
Rfam family: Bacterial small subunit ribosomal RNA
Source: RNAcentral